This 497-nucleotide ribosomal RNA is filed under the name uncultured bacterium. Its description in RNAcentral is "partial 16S ribosomal RNA". It matches the Rfam family "Bacterial small subunit ribosomal RNA", at positions 28 to 507 of the family's 1533-position model. The record is from RNAcentral.
GAUGAACGCUGGCGGCGUGCCUAAUACAUGCAAGUCGAGCGAACGGACGAGAAGCUUGCUUCUCUGAUGUUAGCGGCGGACGGGUGAGUAACACGUGGAUAACCUACCUAUAAGACUGGGAUAACUUCGGGAAACCGGAGCUAAUACCGGAUAAUAUUUUGAACCGCAUGGUUCAAAAGUGAAAGACGGUCUUGCUGUCACUUAUAGAUGGAUCCGCGCUGCACUAGCUAGUUGGUAAGGUAACGGCUUACCAAGGCAACGAUGCAUAGCCGACCUGAGAGGGUGAUCGGCCACACUGGAACUGAGACACGGUCCAGACUCCUACGGGAGGCAGCAGUAGGGAAUCUUCCACAAUGGGCGAAAGCCUGACGGAGCAACGCCGCGUGAGUGAUGAAGGUCUUCGGAUCGUAAAACUCUGUUAUUAGGGAAGAACAUAUGUGUAAGUAACUGUGCACAUCUUGACGGUACCUAAUCAGAAAGCCACGGCUAACUACGUG